GCCCGCAUAGCUCAGCUGGUAGAGCACCUGAUUUGUAAUCAGGGGGUCGGGGGUUCAAAUCCCUCUGUGGGCUCCA
Molecule: transfer RNA, 76 nt
Filed under: Sulfuricaulis sp.
Lineage: Bacteria; Pseudomonadati; Pseudomonadota; Gammaproteobacteria; Acidiferrobacterales; Acidiferrobacteraceae
Description: tRNA-Thr
Rfam family: tRNA
About the family: Transfer RNA (tRNA) molecules are approximately 80 nucleotides in length. Their secondary structure includes four short double-helical elements and three loops (D, anti-codon, and T loops).
Source: RNAcentral